Molecule: ribosomal RNA, 404 nt
Filed under: uncultured bacterium
Lineage: Bacteria
Description: bacterial SSU rRNA
Rfam family: Bacterial small subunit ribosomal RNA
Source: RNAcentral
UAGGGAAUAUUGCUCAAUGGGGGAAACCCUGAAGCAGCAACGCCGCGUGGAGGAUGAAGGUUUUAGGAUUGUAAACUCCUUUUGUUAGAGAAGAUUAUGACGGUAUCUAACGAAUAAGCACCGGCUAACUCCGUGCCAGCAUCCGCGGUAAUACGGAGGGUGCAAGCGUUACUCGGAAUCACUGGGCGUAAAGAGUGCGUAGGCGGGGUAAUAAGUCAGAUGUGAAAUCCUGUAGCUUAACUACAGAACUGCAUUUGAAACUGUUACUCUGGAGUGUGGGAGAGGUAGGUGGAAUUCUUGGUGUAGGGGUAAAAUCCGUAGAGAUCAAGAGGAAUACUCAUUGCGAAGGCGACCUGCUGGAACAUUACUGACGCUGAUGCACGAAAGCGUGGGGAGCAAACAGG